This 638-nucleotide ribosomal RNA is filed under the name uncultured bacterium. RNAcentral's name for it is "bacterial SSU rRNA". It matches the Rfam family "Bacterial small subunit ribosomal RNA", at positions 232 to 885 of the family's 1533-position model. The record is from RNAcentral.
CGCGGCCUAUCAGCUUGUUGGUGAGGUAAUGGCUUACCAAGGCGACGACGGGUAGCCGGCCUGAGAGGGCGACCGGCCACACUGGGACUGAGACACGGCCCAGACUCCUACGGGAGGCAGCAGUGGGGAAUAUUGCACAAUGGGGGAAACCCUGAUGCAGCGACGCCGCGUGCGGGAUGAAGGCCUUCGGGUUGUAAACCGCUUUCAGCAGGGACGAAAGUGACGGUACCUGCAGAAGAAGCACCGGCUAACUACGUGCCAGCAGCCGCGGUAAUACGUAGGGUGCAAGCGUUGUCCGGAAUUAUUGGGCGUAAAGAGCUCGUAGGCGGUCUGUCGCGUCGGAUGUGAAAGCCCGGGGCUUAACCCCGGGUCUGCAUUCGAUACGGGCAGACUAGAGUGUGGUAGGGGAGAUCGGAAUUCCUGGUGUAGCGGUGAAAUGCGCAGAUAUCAGGAGGAACACCGGUGGCGAAGGCGGAUCUCUGGGCCAUUACUGACGCUGAGGAGCGAAAGCGUGGGGAGCGAACAGGAUUAGAUACCCUGGUAGUCCACGCCGUAAACGGUGGGAACUAGGUGUUGGCGACAUUCCACGUCGUCGGUGCCGCAGCUAACGCAUUAAGUUCCCCGCCUGGGGAGUACGG